Long non-coding RNA from Marmota flaviventris (yellow-bellied marmot), 214 nucleotides. RefSeq lists it as uncharacterized. The record is from RefSeq and is a predicted model, not a curated record. NCBI's taxonomy places the organism in Eukaryota, Metazoa, Chordata, Mammalia, Rodentia, Sciuridae.
CAGACCGGGUGGAGAAGAACGGGUGAUGGAAAGUCAAGUUUGCGAAAGAGUACGAAGAGGGCGGGCUGUAGGGCGAGCUGUAUCCAGCCUCUGAGAAUCACCACCUCCAGACAGACUAGCCAACGCAGGCCUGUCCGAGAUGCCGAGCGAAGAAGCAGUAUGGAUGUUCCUGGGGAAAUAAAAACCAGCCGUGCCCAUCAUCCACCUGGAGUCA